Molecule: unclassified non-coding RNA, 732 nt
Filed under: Desikacharya constricta
Lineage: Bacteria; Bacillati; Cyanobacteriota; Cyanophyceae; Nostocales; Nodulariaceae
Description: partial 16S-23S ribosomal RNA intergenic spacer
Rfam family: Bacterial small subunit ribosomal RNA (bases 1-157)
Source: RNAcentral
UUUGUACACCACCGCCCGUCACACCAUGGAAGCUGGCAACGCCCGAAGUCAUUACCCCAACUUUUAGGAGAGGGGGAUGCCUAAGGCAGUGCUGGUGACUGGGGUGAAGUCGUAACAAGGUAGCCGUACCGGAAGGUGUGGCUGGAUCACCUCCUUUUAGGGAGACCUACCCAACUGUAAAAUCGGUUGCCAAAAGCAAGAUAGAGAAUACAGAUGGUCAAACCUAGGUCGGUCGCAGAAAAUUGUGUCAGCUUUCAAACUAUGGUUUGGUUCGUAUUGGGGCUAUUAGCUCAGGUGGUUAGAGCGCACCCCUGAUAAGGGUGAGGUCCCUGGUUCGAGUCCAGGAUGGCCCACCUGAACAAGUAAAAAGGAAAAAGCAAAAAGGAAAAAAAGAAUAACAUAAUUAUUUCUUUUGCCUUUUGCCUUUUAACUUUUGCCUUGUUGAUGGGGGUUUAGCUCAGUUGGUAGAGCGCCUGCUUUGCAAGCAGGAUGUCAGCGGUUCGAGUCCGCUAACCUCCACCUAGAAAGAAAAAAGAGAAGGAAAAAACAGCAACUAACGUGGUUAGACUGCUGGGAAAAAAAUCCUAGCCAGAACCUUGAAAACUGCAUAGAAACGCGAUUUAAUUGCAGGCAGACACAGACAUUGAAAGAUGAAAGUGAAUGCAGGUGAGACACCAAAUGUAUAGUGGUCAAGCGAAUAAGAGCUAAUGGUGGAUACCUACGCACACAGAG